This 394-nucleotide ribosomal RNA is filed under the name uncultured bacterium. RNAcentral's name for it is "bacterial SSU rRNA". It matches the Rfam family "Bacterial small subunit ribosomal RNA", at positions 355 to 766 of the family's 1533-position model. The record is from RNAcentral.
UAGGGAAUAUUAGUAAUGGGCGAAAGCCUGAACUAGCAACGCCGCGUGUGCGAAGAAGGCCUUCGGGUUGUAAAGCACUUUUUGAGAGGAUGAGGAAGGACGGUACUCUCAGAAUAAGUCUCGGCUAACUACGUGCCAGCAGCCGCGGUAACACGUAGGAGGCGAACGUUAUCCGGAUUUACUGGGCGUAAAGCGCGUGUAGGUGGUUUGGUAAGUAGGGCGUGAAAGCUCCUGGCUCAACUGGGAGAGGCCGUUCUAAACUGCCGAACUAGAGGAUGGUAGAGGGAGGUGGAAUUCCGGGUGUAGCGGUGGAAUGCGCAGAUAUCCGGAGGAACACCAGUGGCGAAAGCGGCCUCCUGGACCAUUCCUGACACUCAGACGCGAAAGCUAGGGU